RNAcentral lists this unclassified non-coding RNA (168 nucleotides) under uncultured Myrothecium. Its description in RNAcentral is "sequence contains ITS2". Lineage: Eukaryota; Fungi; Ascomycota; Sordariomycetes; Hypocreales. The record is from RNAcentral.
CAACCCUCAGGCCCCGCCUGGCGUUGGGGAUCGGCGCGGCGCGGCUCCCCGGAGCGGCGCUGCCGGCCCCGAAAUUGAGUGGCGGUCUCGCCGUAGUCCUCUGCGUAGUAGCUAACACCUCGCACUGGAACGCGGCGCGGCCAAGCCGUAAAACACCCCACUUCUGAA